RNAcentral lists this transfer RNA (73 nucleotides) under Canis lupus familiaris (dog). It matches the Rfam family "tRNA". From Rfam's summary of the family: Transfer RNA (tRNA) molecules are approximately 80 nucleotides in length. The record is from Rfam by way of RNAcentral. Lineage: Eukaryota; Metazoa; Chordata; Mammalia; Carnivora; Canidae. RNAcentral also lists the same sequence under 1 other name.
GCCCAACUGGUUCAGUUGGUGGAGUGUGUGAUUCUUGAUCUCGGGGCUGUUGGUUCGAGCCCCAUGUUGGGUG